Molecule: long non-coding RNA, 2102 nt
Organism: Culex pipiens pallens (northern house mosquito)
Lineage: Eukaryota; Metazoa; Arthropoda; Insecta; Diptera; Culicidae
Exons: 4
Source: RefSeq, a predicted model, not a curated record
CGGACUGCCCCCUGUUGAGUUGAAGCUAGUUGAAUGAAAAAGAGUUAGAGAGGUAGUUGAAUUAAAAUCUUCUCCUAUCAGUACUUUGUCGUUCGAUUACAGAUUCCAAAAAGCGUUUUCAAAUGAUAUAUAGCUUAAUAUGAAGUGAAAAAAGAGAAAAAAGCAAGUAUGUGCAAAAAAAUGCAGAAUAAAAGUUUCAUAAUGUGAAAAUUUAUUAAUGAACUUCCCACGCCAUAAUUGUCAUUCACCCCUCGCAUCGCCAUUACAAUAACGAGGAAAUUGUCAAUUAGCCCCGGUAAAACGUCAUGCUAAUAUCCGAGGUGUUGAUUACCGCGACAACAAAACGCGACAGGGUAGAGAAACGGAGUGUCAAACCGAAGGGGACACAACCCAUCCAAGUAGUCAUGAACGCGUACGGCACCGGAAGUACUGAUGCAUAUCGCGCGCCUGCUACGAUCGCGGUGUGAAAAUGUGAGCGGGGUUCUUGUUUUAACUUAAUUAUGGUGAUUGCUUGGCGUGAUUAUGAUAAAAGUUUUGUGCAAUUUUCAGGGUUUUCAUAAAUUGUUUCCAUUUUUGGACGAUUUUCAGUUAAUUCGUACGUGCAGAGCGGAACGUCGUAAAAUGUUUGAGGUCAAAAGCCCUCACACUCUGUCAUUACGCAACAAAUAUUCCACCUUUUACGACUUUUUGAUUUCCCUCGCGGCAUUUAUGAAUUUCCCCCCGAGUGCGCGAGCGCGCUCGUUUAUGAAGUGUUUCUGUUUUACAAAGCCUACUUUGCUAGUUUGAUGUUUUUCAUCACCUUUCCGCGGCUGUGAGCCAUUCGGCAUCUUUUCAAGUGUCCAGUGCAGCCAAAUCUGCUCCGGGGAAACUAGUUAUGCUUCGCAACAGGUCGUAAAAACCCUCUCGUUUUGGUCUCUUCGUGGGGUGUGAAACGUUUUGGAAGAGUUUGCCUAAAUUUACUAAUCAAUGGAUUUAUGCUAGUGGGGGGGCGUUUUACGAUAUGAAUUAAUCAAAUUAAGAGAAAAAAAGCUUUUUACAUCCAAAACACAAAGUCUACUUUAAUUUGUGAAUGCAUAUUAAAUAAAUUCGUUGGUCAGUUUAGCAAAAUGAAAUGACCCCGUUCUGCAAAAGAUAAUUUUACGAGUCUGCACCGCCGACGCUCUCAUUUGCAUAUCAAACCUGAAAGUCUGGUCCCACCAAGUGCCUUCACCGUCCACAGUCGCCCCAAGAUUAAUUGAAUAAUUAAACAAUGUAGGAGCUCUUUUCCCCCUCGCGCGCGAUAGUCAUCUGCAUAUCAAGCUCGGCUCAUAAUUUUCCGCUCCCGUAGUCAAAUUUCGCGCGCCCAAGCAAAGAUCCACGUGAUGCUCAUUUGAAUGCACAAACAUUCACACAAUCUACAUAUUUGAUUGCGCGCCCAUGCUUAUUUGCGUAUUUGCCCCCACCUUGCGCGCGCGCGAAAACAGAGCAAUUUGAAACAUUUUAAGCACCUUGUAGUGUGUCUUAUCGGACUCAUCAGAAUAUCCAUCGCGCAGUAGGCUAGCGGAGCAGUCGCGGGGUGACCAGCCACCGGAACAUCUCAGCGCCUACUUUGCUUACCGGUGUGUCAAUCAGCGACGGAAUCUACAUACUGAGACAUUUUAUGACUUUUUAACGCUUCCCUUUCGAGUGGUAACGAGCUUGCACUUGGGAGUUUUGAGGACGGCUAUCACUAACGGCGCCUGGUUCUGUGGUUUUCCAACCCAGUGCGUACUUCUCAACGUCGUAUUCUGCAUACCACCAGCACCGCAACCACCCACUAAACAGACAGACAGACAGUCAGUCAGACAGUCAUAAUGAGCAAUGCGAAUGCAGCUGAUGCAUGCAAAAUUGCAUGGUUAGGUCUUCAAGGCAAGCAAUGUUGUGAUUAUUACCGUACCAAAAGACCUAGCAAUUGUAAAUGGGAAAUGAGUCUGGUUGAAGAAGUUUUGUGAUUUUUGUUGCACUGGGUUUGGUUGACUUUGGUUUAAUGAUAGGUGACACACCGUAGUCUUAAUUGGUACUAAUUUUGUGGUAGACUGAUUUAGCAGAUAUCCGAGAGGUUUAAACAUUGUAGUUGUUUAUAA